This 1345-nucleotide ribosomal RNA is filed under the name uncultured bacterium. RNAcentral's name for it is "bacterial SSU rRNA". It matches the Rfam family "Bacterial small subunit ribosomal RNA", at positions 28 to 1381 of the family's 1533-position model. The record is from RNAcentral.
GAUGAACGCUAGCGGGAGGCCUAACACAUGCAAGCCGAGCGGUAGAGAUCUUUCGGGAUCUUGAGAGCGGCGUACGGGUGCGGAACACGUGUGCAACCUGCCUUUAUCUGGGGGAUAGCCUUUCGAAAGGAAGAUUAAUACCCCAUAAUAUGUUGGAUGGCAUCAUUCGACAUUGAAAACUCCGGUGGAUAGAGAUGGGCACGCGCAAGAUUAGAUAGUUGGUGAGGUAACGGCUCACCAAGUCUGCGAUCUUUAGGGGGCCUGAGAGGGUGAUCCCCCACACUGGUACUGAGACACGGACCAGACUCCUACGGGAGGCAGCAGUGAGGAAUAUUGGACAAUGGGUGAGAGCCUGAUCCAGCCAUCCCGCGUGAAGGACGACGGCCCUAUGGGUUGUAGACUUCUUUUGUAUAGGGAUAAACCUACUCUCGUGAGAGUAGCUGAAGGUACUAUACGAAUAAGCACCGGCUAACUCCGUGCCAGCAGCCGCGGUAAUACGGAGGGUGCAAGCGUUAUCCGGAUUUAUUGGGUUUAAAGGGUCCGUAGGCGGAUCUGUAAGUCAGUGGUGAAAUCUCACAGCUUAACUGUGAAACUGCCAUUGAUACUGCAGGUCUUGAGUGUUGUUGAAGUAGCUGGAAUAAGUAGUGUAGCGGUGAAAUGCAUAGAUAUUACUUAGAACACCAAUUGCGAAGGCAGGUUACUAAGCAACAACUGACGCUGAUGGACGAAAGCGUGGGGAGCGAACAGGAUUAGAUACCCUGGUAGUCCACGCCGUAAACGAUGCUAACUCGUUUUUGGGCUUUCGGGUUCAGAGACUAAGCGAAAGUGAUAAGUUAGCCACCUGGGGAGUACGAACGCAAGUUUGAAACUCAAAGGAAUUGACGGGGGCCCGCACAAGCGGUGGAUUAUGUGGUUUAAUUCGAUGAUACGCGAGGAACCUUACCAAGGCUUAAAUGGGAAAUGACAGGUUUAGAAAUAGACUUUUCUUCGGACAUUUUUCAAGGUGCUGCAUGGUUGUCGUCAGCUCGUGCCGUGAGGUGUUAGGUUAAGUCCUGCAACGAGCGCAACCCCUGUCACUAGUUGCCAUCAUUAAGUUGGGGACUCUAGUGAGACUGCCUACGCAAGUAGAGAGGAAGGUGGGGAUGACGUCAAAUCAUCACGGCCCUUACGCCUUGGGCCACACACGUAAUACAAUGGCCGGUACAGAGGGCAGCUACACAGCGAUGUGAUGCAAAUCUCGAAAGCCGGUCUCAGUUCGGAUUGGAGUCUGCAACUCGACUCUAUGAAGCUGGAAUCGCUAGUAAUCGCGCAUCAGCCAUGGCGCGGUGAAUACGUUCCCGGGCCU